This 26-nucleotide non-coding RNA is filed under the name Rattus norvegicus (Norway rat). The record is from RNAcentral. Lineage: Eukaryota; Metazoa; Chordata; Mammalia; Rodentia; Muridae.
UGGUGAAAGUGUUGCAGAAAUCAAGC